UACUCGGCUCGUCUGAGGCUGCCGAACAAGAUGCCGUGGUCGGACAAGCGAGCUCUGGUGGAGAGCACAAUAGUAGCCAUGGGGCUUCAGGAUUGUGCCGACACGGUGAUCGGAAGCUGGCAUCUCACCCUCUUCGAGCCAAGAAAGACCCGUUAGAUGAUAGUCACUGAAGGUCUAGAGGAAAGCGCAAUCAAAUGGGUGAAGCGGGAUUUUUUUUCAUCAUCGCUGAUUCUCUCCAGAUAUCAAAUAUGGAAGAAUUCCCACAAAGGUGGUGAGAGUGGAAACUAUGUGUCAACAAAUCUUUAGAAGAAGACAAUGGAGACCAGGAUUAACAAAAGACACUGGUCAGUUUCAUUUUCCUACACAUCUCUACACAUCAUUGUGAUCCCUUAU
Prosopis cineraria is the source of this 393-nucleotide long non-coding RNA. RefSeq lists it as uncharacterized. The record is from RefSeq and is a predicted model, not a curated record. The transcript has 3 exons. NCBI's taxonomy places the organism in Eukaryota, Viridiplantae, Streptophyta, Magnoliopsida, Fabales, Fabaceae.